GAUGAACGCUAGCUACAGGCUUAACACAUGCAAGUCGAGGGGUAACGAGAGGAAAGCUUGCUUUCCUUGUCGACGACCGGCGCACGGGUGAGUAACGCGUAUCCAACCUGCCCCCAACUAGGGAAUAACCUUGCGAAAGUAAGACUAAUACCCUAUAAUUUCCUCAGAUGUCAUCUGACGAGGAAUAAAGAUUUAUCGGUCGUGGAUGGGGAUGCGUCUGAUUAGCUUGUUGGCGGGGUAACGGCCCACCAAGGCAACGAUCAGUAGGGGUUCUGGGAGGAACGUCCCCCACAUUGGAACUGAGACACGGUCCAAACUCCUACGGGAGGCAGCAGUGAGGAAUAUUGGUCAAUGGGCGGAAGCCUGAACCAGCCAAGUAGCGUGCAGGAUGACGGCCCUAUGGGUUGUAAACUGCUUUUAUACAGGAAUAAAGUUAGCCACGUGUGGUUAUUUGUAGGUACUGUAUGAAUAAGGACCGGCUAAUUCCGUGCCAGCCGCCGCAGUAA
RNAcentral lists this ribosomal RNA (506 nucleotides) under uncultured bacterium. Its description in RNAcentral is "partial 16S ribosomal RNA". It matches the Rfam family "Bacterial small subunit ribosomal RNA", at positions 28 to 523 of the family's 1533-position model. The record is from RNAcentral.